ACGCACGCUGGCGGCGUGCUUCACCCCUGCAAGUCGCACGGAAAGGCCCUGCUUUUGUGGGGUGCUCGAGUGGCGAACGGGUGAGUAACACGUGAGUAACCUGCCCUUGACUUUGGGAUAACUUCAGGAAACUGGGGCUAAUACCGGAUAGGAGCUCCUGCUGCAUGGUGGGGGUUGGAAAGUUUCGGCGGUUGGGGAUGGACUCGCGGCUUAUCAGCUUGUUGGUGGGGUAGUGGCUUACCAAGGCUUUGACGGGUAGCCGGCCUGAGGGGGUGACCGGCCACAUUGGGACUGAGAUACGGCCCAGACUCCUACGGGAGGCAGCAGUGGGGAAUAUUGCACAAUGGGCGGAAGCCUGAUGCAGCAACGCCGCGUGCGGGAUGACGGCCUUCGGGUUGUAAACCGCUUUCGCCUGUGACGAAGCGUGAGUGACGGUAAUGGGUAAAGAAGCACCGGCUAACUACGUG
RNAcentral lists this ribosomal RNA (467 nucleotides) under uncultured bacterium. RNAcentral describes it as "partial 16S ribosomal RNA". It matches the Rfam family "Bacterial small subunit ribosomal RNA", at positions 29 to 507 of the family's 1533-position model. The record is from RNAcentral.